GACGAACGCUGGCGGCGUGCUUAACACAUGCAAGUCGAACGGAAAGGCCCUGCUUUUGUGGGGUGCUCGAGUGGCGAACGGGUGAGUAACACGUGAGUAACCUGCCCUUGACUUUGGGAUAACUUCAGGAAACUGGGGCUAAUACCGGAUAGGAGCUCCUGCUGCAUGGUGGGGGUUGGAAAGUUUCGGCGGUUGGGGAUGGACUCGCGGCUUAUCAGCUUGUUGGUGGGGUAGUGGCUUACCAAGGCUUUGACGGGUAGCCGGCCUGAGAGGGUGACCGGCCACAUUGGGACUGAGAUACGGCCCAGACUCCGACGGGAGGCAGCAGUGGGGAAUAGUGCACAAUGGGCGGAAGCCUGAUGCAGCAACGCCGCGUGCGGGAUGACGGCCUUCGGGUUGUAAACCGCUUUCGCCUGUGACGAAGCGUGAGUGACGGUAAUGGGUAAAGAAGCACCGGCUAACUACGUG
This 468-nucleotide ribosomal RNA is filed under the name uncultured bacterium. RNAcentral's name for it is "partial 16S ribosomal RNA". It matches the Rfam family "Bacterial small subunit ribosomal RNA", at positions 28 to 507 of the family's 1533-position model. The record is from RNAcentral.